Neofelis nebulosa (Clouded leopard) is the source of this 1786-nucleotide long non-coding RNA. RefSeq lists it as uncharacterized. The record is from RefSeq and is a predicted model, not a curated record. Lineage: Eukaryota; Metazoa; Chordata; Mammalia; Carnivora; Felidae. The transcript has 2 exons.
GUUUUCCAAGGACGUUUUCCAUUGUAGGACGUUGCCGAGAGGCCGGGGGAGUCUAGGACCCGCGGAGGCGAAACUGCGCGGUGGAUGAACCUCUCUGGAAGUCGCUAAAUAGCGUAGAUACAGGUUCGAAUCCCAGACCGCCACUCAGGGUUAAAAAAAAAAUUUUUUUUUUAACAUUUAUUUAUUAUUGAGAGACAGAGAGAGACAGAGCAUGAGCAGGGGAGGGGCCCAGAGACGGGGAGACACAGAAUCCGAAGCAGGCUCCAGGCUCUGAGCUGUCAGCACAGAGCACAAAUCAAGAGGUCAUGACCUGAGCCGAAGUGGGAUGCUUAACUAUCAGAGCUACCCGGGCGCCCCGCCACCCAGGGUUUUAUAGCCUUAGAGAAAGCACAUUAACUGACUAAGCCUAGUUUCUCAUCUGUAUGGUGAGGGUAAUCAAUAAUAGAGGCAUCUGUGAAGUGCUCUCAGGAGAAGAGUUAGUGAUGAAGAGCCGAGCCUGUUAGGAGAAAUGGAUAUGAGGGGCCAGAGCUGGAGGAGGCCAGUGCUAUAUAGUAGAUGAAGCCAGGGUCAUCCUUCACCUCCCUAAGUAGAGGGGUUCACACCUGAGCUGCUAUCAGCACCUAAGCAAGGAAGAGACCCUCCAAGAGGGCCUGACCCAACACUGCCGUUCUGGGGAAAACUUGAGCACUGCUGGUUGGGUUUGUCAUACCUUGUCAGUGCCCUGGUUGCUGGUCCACCUAUCCUAAGUGCUGUGAAGGAGACUUGAGAACUGACUUUCCCUCCAAGGUACCAUCUUGUCCGGGAGACAAAAACCAAUGCAGCGAGGACACUUCACUGCAAGGAGGGGCAAGCCUGGCAACCCAACUCUGGAGCUCUGCGGAGGGCACUGUUUGCCUGGUUUUCUCACUAGGGCCAGACCAGAGCAUAUAUUCCUUCUUGCUGAUGAGGACUCUCUUUGCCAGAAGAACCCAGAGAGAGCAGAGGGCCCAUCCCCAGGGGAUGAACCAGAUUGCUCCAAAGCAGCCAUGGCGGUCCUGUUCUUCUUUGCCAAAUACUCAGUUUCCCAGCCUCCCUUGAAGUGAGAAGAGGAUGCCGCUCAGUUCUGCCCAUCAACAUUUAAAGGGAAAUUUACCGGCAGGAUUCUGGGAAACUUUUAUCUUCAUGAUAAAGUAGUACGGCCUCAAUCCCUUCGUGGAGCUGUGGCAGCCACUUUGUGGCAUGGAGAGAACUACAUACUAUGGAUGGGAGAGUAGGAACAUUAAGUCUUAUGUCCUUGAAACAAUACUUAUGACAGGAUGCUUGUGACCAGAAUUGUCAGUCGCUGUAACAUGGCUCAGGAUACUACAUCUAGCUGUCCUGCAUCACCUACCUUCCAAGCAGCAGCCUGGUGUCCAGAUGCUGAAUUGGACCCACCUAGAAACCCUUCAGGGUGACAAUCCUAGCCGAAGAGAAAGCCACGGGCAGAAACUUGGAACCACGACUCCUCCUGGGCAACAUGGAGGAGCUUGGGCUUUGGGCCAACCUUCUGGCAUGGCCCAGUGAGCACCUCCGGACUUAUGCCUCCUCUGGGAAAUCCAUUUACUCCAGCUUUGCCCUCCACACCCCCCUAACCCAGCUUCACCUCCCAAACCUGCAAAGACACAAGCAGGCCAAAGAAUGCCACUCAAGAGGCUUUCUGCAUUUUAUUUCUUUGGGAAAAGAAAACGAAGUCUUUCCAUCACAUAUGGUAGAGAUAUAUAUUUAUAUAUAUUUAUAUAUAAUUUCUUUUGUGGUUGGAAGUCCCAAA